This 374-nucleotide ribosomal RNA is filed under the name Ostreococcus sp. RNAcentral describes it as "partial small subunit ribosomal RNA". It matches the Rfam family "Eukaryotic small subunit ribosomal RNA", at positions 582 to 975 of the family's 1831-position model. Lineage: Eukaryota; Viridiplantae; Chlorophyta; Mamiellophyceae; Mamiellales; Bathycoccaceae. The record is from RNAcentral.
AUUCCAGCUCCAAUAGCGUAUAUUUAAGUUGUUGCAGUUAAAAAGCUCGUAGUCGGACUUUGGCUGAGAACGGUCGGUCCGCCGUUAGGUGUGCACUGACUGGUCUCAGCUUCCUGGUGAGGAGGUGUGCUUCACGGCCACUUAGUCACCGUGGUUACUUUGAAAAAAUUAGAGUGUUCAAAGCGGGCUUACGCUUGAAUAUAUUAGCAUGGAAUAACACCAUAGGACUCCUGUCCUAUUUCGUUGGUCUCGGGACGGGAGUAAUGAUUAAGAGGAACAGUUGGGGGCAUUCGUAUUUCAUUGUCAGAGGUGAAAUUCUUGGAUUUAUGAAAGACGAACUUCUGCGAAAGCAUUUGCCAAGGAUGUUUUCAUUG